UACGUAGGGGGCUAGCGUUGUCCGGAAUCAUUGGGCGUAAAGCGCGUGUAGGCGGUUCGGUAAGUCCGCUGUGAAAGUCGGGGGCUCAACCCUCGGAUGCCGGUGGAUACUGUCGGACUAGAGUACGGAAGAGGCGAGUGGAAUUCCUGGUGUAGCGGUGAAAUGCGCAGAUAUCGGGAAGAACACCGGCGGCGAAAGCGGAUCCCUGGGCCUUACCUGACGCUCAGGCGCGAAAGCUAGGGGAGCGAACAGG
Molecule: ribosomal RNA, 253 nt
Filed under: uncultured bacterium
Lineage: Bacteria
Description: partial 16S ribosomal RNA
Rfam family: Bacterial small subunit ribosomal RNA
Source: RNAcentral